Non-coding RNA from Stygiomarasmius scandens, 84 nucleotides. The record is from the annotation of a GenBank genome assembly. NCBI's taxonomy places the organism in Eukaryota, Fungi, Basidiomycota, Agaricomycetes, Agaricales, Campanellaceae.
GGGGGUAUAGCUCAGCUGGGAGAGCAGCAGACUGAAGUCAACCUUGUGUUCUGAAGGUCCCGCGUUCGAUCCGCGGUACCCCCA